Molecule: non-coding RNA, 79 nt
Submitted as: unclassified sequences
Source: Rfam
AUAAUGAUACUCCCGUCUUGAACGCGUCACUGCAUUGGGCGGUUGCGUAAGACCUACGCAGAGGGUGAAAGUCCCGUGA